Non-coding RNA from Mycena leptocephala, 90 nucleotides. Lineage: Eukaryota; Fungi; Basidiomycota; Agaricomycetes; Agaricales; Mycenaceae. The record is from the annotation of a GenBank genome assembly.
GGCAGAGAGGCGCACGGUGUGCGUCGGGGCAUCAUAAUAUAGCUAUUAGGUUACACCCCGAAGGUCCUCGUUCGACUCGAGGCUCUGCCC